ACAAGCGGUGGAGCAUGUGGUUUAAUUCGACGCAACGCGAAGAACCUUACCAGGGCUUGACAUCCCCUGACCGCGUAUGAAAGUACGUUUUCACCCUCGGGUGACAGGGAGACAGGUGGUGCAUGGUUGUCGUCAGCUCGUGUCGUGAGAUGUUGGGUUAAGUCCCGCAACGAGCGCAACCCCUACGUUUAGUUGCUAACGCGUGAAGGCGAGCACUCUAGACGAACUGCCGUUGACAAAACGGAGGAAGGUGGGGAUGACGUCAAAUCAUCAUGCCCCUUAUGUUCUGGGCUACACACGUGCUACAAUGGCCGGUACAGACGGACGCAAAGCCGCGAGGUGGAGCAAAUCCUAAAAAGCCGGUCUCAGUUCGGAUUGCAGGCUGCAAUUCGCCUGCAUGAAGUCGGAAUCGCUAGUAAUCGCAGGUCAGCAUACUGCGGUGAAUACGUUCCCGGGCCUUGU
This 462-nucleotide ribosomal RNA is filed under the name uncultured Pelotomaculum sp. Its description in RNAcentral is "bacterial SSU rRNA". It matches the Rfam family "Bacterial small subunit ribosomal RNA", at positions 925 to 1384 of the family's 1533-position model. Lineage: Bacteria; Bacillati; Bacillota; Clostridia; Eubacteriales; Desulfotomaculaceae. The record is from RNAcentral.